GCCUACGGGGCGCAGCAGUGGGGAAUAUUGCACAAUGGGGGAAACCCUGAUGCAGCGACGCCGCGUGAGUGAAAAAGUAUUUCGGUAUGUAAAGCUCUAUCAGCAGGGAAGAAAAUGACGGUACCUGACUAAGAAGCCCCGGCUAACUACGUGCAAGCAGCCGCGGUAAUACGUAGGGGGCAAGCGUUAUCCGGAUUUACUGGGUGUAAAGGGAGCGUAGACGGCAUGGCAAGUCAGAUGUGAAAGCCCGGGGCUCAACCCCGGGACUGCAUUUGAAACUGCCAGGCUGGAGUGCGGGAGUGGUA
Molecule: ribosomal RNA, 305 nt
Filed under: uncultured bacterium
Lineage: Bacteria
Description: bacterial SSU rRNA
Rfam family: Bacterial small subunit ribosomal RNA
Source: RNAcentral